RNAcentral lists this long non-coding RNA (4219 nucleotides) under Homo sapiens (human). Its description in RNAcentral is "HSALNT0024456". The record is from RNAcentral. Lineage: Eukaryota; Metazoa; Chordata; Mammalia; Primates; Hominidae.
GUAAAACCCCGUCUCUAUUAAAAAUACAAAAAUUAGCUGGGCAUGGUGGUGUGUGCCUGUAAUCCCAGCUACUCGGGAGGCUGAGACAGGAGAAUUGCUUUUACCCGGGAGGCAGAGGUUGCAGUGAGCUGAGAUUGCACCAUUGCACUUCAGCCUGGGCAACAGAGCGAGACUCCAUCUCACAAAACAACAACAAAAAAAGGCUGGGCGCGGUGGUUCACGCCUGUAAUCCCAACACUUUGGGAGGCCGAGGCGGUUGGAUCACCUGAGGUCAGGAGUUCAAGACCAGCCUGGCCAACAUCAUGAAGCCCUGUCUCUACUAAAAAUACAACCAUUAGCCAGGCAUGGUGGCGGGCACCUGUAAUUCCAGUUACUCGGUAGGCUGAGAUGGGAGAAUCACUUGAUCCUAGGAGGCAGAGGUUGCAGUGAGCCAAAACUGCUCCAUUGCACUCCAGCCUGAGUGACAGGGCAAAACUCUGGCUCAAAACAGAAAAGCAAACAAACAACAACAACAACAAACAGCAAAAAAAAAAAAAAAAAAAAAAAAAAAAAGAUGGGGUGGUUCCCCUCCAGUGGCUCACACCUGUAAUCCCAGCACUUUGGAAGGUCGAGGCAGGCAGAAUGCUUGAGCCCAGGAGUUUGACACUAGCCUGGGCAACUUGGUGAAACCCUGUCUUUACAAAAAAGUACAAAAAUUAGCCUGGUGUGGUAGCCCAUGCCUGCAGUUCCAGCUACUUGGGAGGGUGAGGUGGGAGGAUCACCUGAGCCUGGGGAGGUCGAAGCUACAGUGAGCCGUGAUGGCACACCGCUGCACUCCAUCCUGGGCAACAGAGUGAGACCUUGUUUCAAAAAAAUAAAUAAAAGGCUGGACGUGGUGGCUCAGGCCUGUGAUCCCAGCACUUUGGGAGGCCAAGGUGGGAGGAUCACCUGAGGUCAGGAGUUCGAGACCAGCCUGGCCAGCAUGAUGAAACCCCGUCUCUACUAAAAAUGCAAAAAUUAGCCAGGCAUGGUGGUGCAUGCCUGUAAGCCCAGCUAUGUGGGAGGCUGAGGCAGGAGAAUCACUUGAACGCAGGAGGCGGAGGUUGCAGUGAGCCGAGAUCGGGACACUGCACUCCAGCCUGGGCGACAGAGUGAGACUCUAUCUCAAUCAAGUGAUAAAUAAAUAAAUAAAUAAAUAAAUAAAUAAAUAAAUAAAAAAGUGAAGUGUGGGAGGGAUUGCUCGGUACUCAGCAUCAAGGAUGAAAGCUGACUGCAGCCAUUGUCCCAGUUGAGUUCAGUGGACUUUUCAGUGCAGCCCCGGGAUGAAAAGUUCUUCCAGGCUCCUGUACUGUGCAUGCUCUUAAGGACAGAAAGCGUUUUCUUUGCAUCUAGACCCACUUACCCCCUGCCCCUCUGCUCAGUGCUUGUAGCUCUCUCUACACUGUUAUUUCAUCUUUUCAUCCCUGCUAAAUCUUUGCCCUGAAAAAUGCAGCUCCCUUGAUCUGAACAAAUGCUGUGCCCCACUCUGGCCCUGAGUCCCCCAUUAGAGCAUCUGGAGGAGAUACCGAACCACUUUCCAUGUUUUCUUUCUUCCUUCAUACUAAACACACUUUCCUCUUGUAUGUGCCUUGCUGUGCAAAGUGCAGUUCAUUGUUAAAGACAGAUAUAGAAACAAAUACUUACAAUAUUGUUAAAAACAAAUACAGAAACAAAUAGUUACAAUACUGUUAAAGACAGAUACAGAAGCACAUAGUUACAAUACAAUGUAGCAAAUUUUGUAAUGGGGAACAGAUUUACAAUGAAGGUUGUGAUUUCUUAUUAAGAUGGACUCCAGAGACUCUCAAAGGAGCUAUUUUUAGAAAAAUUGUGUUGUGAAUUACAUAUGCAAUUAAUAAUAAUAGCUAACAUUUCUUGAUCACAAUUUCUAGUUGCCUUGUGUGACUUAAUCCAUGUAAAUCUCAGAGUAAGCCUAAGUGGUACAUACUGUUAUCAUCCCUAUUUUUGAGUUGAGGAAAUUUAGGCUCAGAGAGAUUAAGCACACAGCUAGAGAGUGCUUGAGCCAGAAUUUGAAGCUGGAUUGCUUGUCUUAUCUCCAGAGCCUCCCUCAUAAGCACUAUGUUCCCUCCAAUAAUGGCCAGAAAGCAAUAUAAUGAAGUUUCUGUUCUUGCCAGAAAGUUUGCCAACAUUUUUUCAAACUUUUCAAACAUAUAAAACAAUAUAGGUGUGCUAAGUGUAAUGUCGAGUCCUGGAUUGGAUCCUGAAAUGGAAAAAGGGCGUUUGUGAAAAAACUGGUGAAAUCUGAAUAAAAUCUAACGUUUAGUUGUACCAGUGUUAAUUUCUGAGUUAUGUUCAUUUCUGUACCAUGGUUAUGUAAGAUGUCAACACUGGGGGGAAUGGGACGAAGGGGUAUAUGGGAACUCUUUGGACUACAUUUGCAAUUUUUCCAUAAAUUAUCCCAAAAUAAGACUUGCAUUUAAAAUGACAACAUUAUGGAUAUGAGACUUCAUUGAUAUGUUUCUCCCAUGGCCUCUUCCUAGAGAUCAUCCUUAUCCAGAAUGUGGUGUUUAUCAUUCAAAGGGCCUAACACAACUAUUACUAUACUAAAUGUCAGUCAUGAGCAAUGCAGAGGAUUUCUCAAGGCGUUUGGGUUUCAGUGAGGGAUCAGGAUUAUGGGUCUUCCGAGAGACCCUGCUCCUCUUUCAGACAGGGGCACUGCCAUAAGUCCCUCUCCCAAUCAACCCAGUUUCACUCUCACCAACUACCCAGCCCAGACUUAGGCCCACUGUUGACCCCACAAAGGAGGCCACACCCUCCCUGCAGCUCCUGUUGCUCAGCCUUCCCUAAGCUGUGCACCACCCUCUCACCCAAACGAAGGCAGCUGGCCCUGAAGUUCUCUGAGCUUGAGGACAAAAAAAGACCUCUGUGAGUUGUCAGGCUCUGUUACAGUCUGGGUCAGCAGACAAGAGUCCCAGGGCUCGGCCGUCUUCUCUAGGAGAGAAAAUAUUCGUGCCAUAUAGCGUGUUCUAAGAGUUCUCACCAGAAGCCCAGAAAGUUCUGUAUUUACUCAGCAUUCAAGGUGUGUACCCAGACCACAACGCUACCCUAGGGGGCCCAGCUCUAGGACAGGGGAUGGCCCAGAGCUCUGAAAUUUGAGGUAUUUUCUAGUAUCUAACAGUCAUUAGAAGGGCAACAGCUCUGAGACCUUAUUCAACUAUUUAUUGAAAUAUUUGUUUUUCCCCAUUGUCUAUUUAUAAAGGUAACUGGGAGGACAGAGGUUCAUAGAGGCUCUCAAAGAAGAAGCCUAGAAAACCCACCAGGGAGGGUGGGGAGGGAAGCCCUGGGACCUGAUCAGGGCUGUGCAAGCCCGACCUGACCCAUGACCUGAGGCUGACCCACAACCUGAGGACAAGGGAAGAGAAGACACUAGGGCCUGGCCAAGGUCUCUGGGAAAAUAAAUAGGCCUAUCUGUUGUCCUUUGACCUGCACAUACUGUUCUUUUGCAGGGAAAACAGACCCUGUAUUUUUGGGAUUCCUGAAAGGUGACCAGGUGAGAGCAAAGCCCAACUUCCUGGGGAAAAGCUCUCAGCGCAGUGAAUGCUACAUUCGGAGGUAGGAAGGCUCUGGAUGUGAGUCUUCAUGUUUGUUUUUUGUUUUUUGUUUUUUUUUCUCUAAAAUUACCAAAAAAGAGGAAUAUCCACAGAAGCAGAAGUAGGAAUGGGGAAGGAGGGGACAAGUUUAGACCAAGCUCUUCUGUGACCUCACUUCUGCUUUUGAAGUCCCACAGCUCUAUAAGGAUUCCUAAAACUGGACAUGGUGGCUGUAGGAGGAUGCGCCUCUUUCAGUCAUUGGAUUUCCCCUGGAAAGACAGAAUGAAUUCACAUUCUCACCUGCAGUGGGUGAGAAGUCCCUUUUCCCCCACUUCCUUGCCAAAAAUGGAUAUUAUCAUUCCUUUUCAUCUUUGCCAGUCUGGAAGUUAUGUGCAACUGAACACAAGAAUUACAGAAGAGGCCGGGCGUGGUGGCUCACGCCUGUAAUCCCAACACUUUGGGAGGCUGAGGCGGGCAGAUCACUUGAGGCCAGGAGUUUGAAACCAGCCUUGGCAACAUGAUGAAAACCUGUCUCUACCAAAACACACACACACACACACACACUAGCCAGAUAUUGUGACACACACCUGUGGUCCCAGCUACUCGGGAGACUGAAGUGGGAGGAUCACUUGAGCCCAGGAGGUUGAGGCUGU